AAAGGGAUCUCGUAGGUGACCUGCGGAGGGAUCAUUACACAAAUAUGAAGGCGGGCUGGAACCUCUCGGGGUUACAGCCUUGCUGAAUUAUUCACCCUUGUCUUUUGCGUACUUCUUGUUUCCUUGGUGGGUUCGCCCACCACUAGGACAAACAUAAACCUUUUGUAAUUGCAAUCAGCGUCAGUAACAAAUUAAUAAUUACAACUUUCAACAACGGAUCUCUUGGUUCUGGCAUCGAUGAAGAACGCAGCGAAAUGCGAUAAGUAGUGUGAAUUGCAGAAUUCAGUGAAUCAUCGAAUCUUUGAACGCACAUUGCGCCCUUUGGUAUUCCAAAGGGCAUGCCUGUUCGAGCGUCAUUUGUACCCUCAAGCUUUGCUUGGUGUUGGGCGUCUUGUCUCUAGCUUUGCUGGAGACUCGCCUUAAAGUAAUUGGCAGCCGGCCUACUGGUUUCGGAGCGCAGCACAAGUCGCACUCUCUAUCAGCAAAGGUCUAGCAUCCAUUAAGCCUUUUUUUCAACUUUUGACCUCGGAUCAGGUAGGGAUACCCGCUGAACUUA
RNAcentral lists this ribosomal RNA (556 nucleotides) under Alternaria alternata. Its description in RNAcentral is "eukaryotic LSU rRNA". The stretch from base 203 to 356 matches the Rfam family "5.8S ribosomal RNA". The record is from RNAcentral. Lineage: Eukaryota; Fungi; Ascomycota; Dothideomycetes; Pleosporales; Pleosporaceae.